GUUUUUGUCGUGGACUUCACGCAGGAGAGAAGACUGAGAGAAGUUGUGGUGAAGUGCAGUUUCUCCAGCAGCAUACUGGAAGAAAAUAACGGAUUACCUGGAAGUUCUCCUUCUAUGGAGAUAUUUAAGACCUGUCUGGAUGCCUACCUGUGAGACCUAUCGUGGCUUUUUCCUUUCUGAUGUCAGCUAUACCCCAUCAAUCAUCCCAACCACCUAAGGUCCAGAGGGUGAGAAAGUCAUCUCUAGGUGGAGCUGAACUAAGAACACAAAGUUCGAAUCUUCACAGCGGUUCUGGAAUUCUGGAGACUUCAAUCUGCUCCUGGAAAUAACUUGGAAAAUACUGAUAGUGAGCAACAGGAACAUUUGGAACACUGUAAACUUACAUUUGCAUCUUCUAAGAGUCACUAAGGAGUUUAACUCCUUUCCUGGUGAAUGGUUGAGCUGGUGUUGAACAAAUUGGUUUUAAUAUUUUAGAUAGCUGAGAAACAAACCAUGCUUUUUAAAAUGAUGUGCAACUUCAGGUGAACAAUGCCAAAUUUUUUGGAGUUCCCUUGAAGUUGUGUAAGAGACUGUAUAAACCUGGAUGUGUCCUCCUGUAAUACUUGUGGAACUCUCCACUUAUGUGUAGUCACCUCAGGGCCAAAAAUCCUUUAAAAUGAUAUUUUGUUGGAGACAAAACAGUGCCUCUACCACUCUAAAUAACUUCAGUUUAGGGAACUUCUAGCUGUAUUUUUUUGUUGAAAAACCCAAGCCCUCUUUGAUCAAGAGAUGAAAUGAAUUUGUAAGUGCUAUCUGAGAUUCCACAUGACAUAUUACAUACAUAUGGUUGUCAUUACUGAUGCUUUUCUGCAUAGUAAUUAACAUCUCAAAGAGCUGUGCAGUGAACUUAGCCCCUGAGGUAGACAAAAUACCAUGCCUGGGGUAAUUCUGAGCUCAUUUAAACACCAGGAAGCAAGAAAGUUUUUUUUCUUGCUUUUCUUCAAAUAAUAGCCUAAGGGAAAGGGUGUCUCUUCAACCACUGUUCAUACAUCAGAUGAGGUUUUCAACACCACAGGCUGUUCACUACGUGUAUUAAGUAUAGCUAAAAUAGUAUUUUUGCAAAAUUUCACAAACAUUUAUUUGAAAAGAUAAUGACUUAUUUUUGCUAAAUCUAUUUGCAAUCAACAAACCAAGUUUAAAUGGAGGGAUAAAAAUACCAGACAGCAUACAGUGAGGUAAGUAGGCAGAAAUACAAAAGCACGCUGACACAAGUUACUUCCAAAUAAGUUCAGAUUGUGACACUGCAAAAUGCUUAUGUUGUCCUUAAGAGAAGUUCAAAACAUUUAAGUCUAGGAUAAUGGUUUAUGGUUUAGAAUUCAAGAGGAAAAUCAAAGAGUAAGAAAUAAAGCAUAAAAUUAGCAAUCCA
RNAcentral lists this long non-coding RNA (1405 nucleotides) under Numida meleagris (helmeted guineafowl). Its description in RNAcentral is "lncRNA (ENSNMEG00000022448.1)". Lineage: Eukaryota; Metazoa; Chordata; Aves; Galliformes; Numididae. The record is from RNAcentral.